This 527-nucleotide ribosomal RNA is filed under the name uncultured bacterium. RNAcentral's name for it is "bacterial SSU rRNA". It matches the Rfam family "Bacterial small subunit ribosomal RNA", at positions 777 to 1304 of the family's 1533-position model. The record is from RNAcentral.
AAUAGAUACCCAGGUAGUCCACGCCGUAAACGAUGUGUGCUAGACGUCGGAUGUUCCGCAUUCGGUGUCGCCGCUAACGCAUUAAGCACACCGCCUGGGGAGUACGGCCGCAAGGUUAAAACCCAAAGGAAUUGACGGGGGCCCGCACAAGCGGUGGAGCAUGUGGUUUAAUUCGACGCAACGCGCAGAGCCUUACCAGCCCUUGACAUCCCGGUCGCGGGGACCAGAGACGGUCUCCUUCAGUUCGGCUGGACCGGAGACAGGUGCUGCAUGGCUGUCGUCAGCUCGUGUCGUGAGAUGUUGGGUUAAGUCCCGCAACGAGCGCAACCCUCAUCCUUAGUUGCCAUCAUUUGGUUGGGCACUCUAAGGAAACUGCCGGUGACAAGCCGGAGGAAGGCGGGGAUGACGUCAAGUCCUCAUGGCCCUUAUGGGCUGGGCUACACACGUGCUACAAUGGCGGUGACAAUGGGCGGCGAGCCUGCAAAGGUCAGCAAAUCCCCAAAAGCCGUCUCAGUUCGGAUUGUCCU